RNAcentral lists this long non-coding RNA (731 nucleotides) under Ananas comosus (pineapple). Its description in RNAcentral is "long non-coding RNA (ACOM_LNC017587)". The record is from RNAcentral. Lineage: Eukaryota; Viridiplantae; Streptophyta; Magnoliopsida; Poales; Bromeliaceae.
UAGGAACGUUAAUGGUACGGAUAUCUGAAAUUUUAUUCGAACCCGAAUCAGCACAGGAUGAAUUUAUUCAAUACUAAAUAAAUAUAGUUUUGAAUAUGAAUAUUAAAAAUAAAAAUCCGAACAGAUAUAAAUACAUAUAUGAAUUUUGGCUGUAUUUGACCCGAACGUGAAUUCGAUCCGAAUCCGAAUUUAUUUUACAUUAUAUACAAUAUGUAUAUAAAAAUUUGAUAUUAUAUUUGAAUUUGUAUUUUAAAAAUUUAUAUUUAAUGUAAUAUAUUUUGAAAUAUUGAAGAGAGAAAUAAUUGUUUCCGGUUCUGAUUUUUGGGUUCGGAUUCUGGUUCUGGUUCGGAUUCGAGUUUUGAAUUUUUGGUCGGAUUUGAGUUUGGAUAAGAAUUUUUAAAAUCCGUCGGGCUCGGGUUUGAGUUCGGGUUCGGGUUCGGGUUCGGGUUUCAAGUUUGGAGUUGGGUUUGGGUUUGGGUUAUUAAAAAUCCGCCCCGAAUUCGACCCAUUAACAUCUCUACUCCGUCUAUAUCCAGGAAAAAAAAAAAAUUAAAUACACCAGUUAUAUUAUUGAUGUAACAUAUUCAACUAGUAAAAUUAUAUUUUUUUUCAAUUUAUCCAUCCCAUCAUGAUUACUAAAAAAUAUUUUUACUCUGCUUAAAUCUAAAAAUAGAUAAGUGAUUGAUUGGUUAUUGAUGAUGUGAUACAAGUAUUACAUAGUAAACUUUCUU